RNAcentral lists this ribosomal RNA (624 nucleotides) under Ligilactobacillus murinus. RNAcentral's name for it is "bacterial SSU rRNA". It matches the Rfam family "Bacterial small subunit ribosomal RNA", at positions 57 to 649 of the family's 1533-position model. The record is from RNAcentral. Lineage: Bacteria; Bacillati; Bacillota; Bacilli; Lactobacillales; Lactobacillaceae.
GCAGUCGAACGAAACUUCUUUAUCACCGAGUGCUUGCACUCACCGAUAAAGAGUUGAGUGGCGAACGGGUGAGUAACACGUGGGCAACCUGCCCAAAAGAGGGGGAUAACACUUGGAAACAGGUGCUAAUACCGCAUAACCAUAGUUACCGCAUGGUAACUAUGUAAAAGGUGGCUAUGCUACCGCUUUUGGAUGGGCCCGCGGCGCAUUAGCUAGUUGGUGGGGUAAAGGCUUACCAAGGCAAUGAUGCGUAGCCGAACUGAGAGGUUGAUCGGCCACAUUGGGACUGAGACACGGCCCAAACUCCUACGGGAGGCAGCAGUAGGGAAUCUUCCACAAUGGGCGAAAGCCUGAUGGAGCAACGCCGCGUGGGUGAAGAAGGUCUUCGGAUCGUAAAACCCUGUUGUUAGAGAAGAAAGUGCGUGAGAGUAACUGUUCACGUUUCGACGGUAUCUAACCAGAAAGCCACGGCUAACUACGUGCCAGCAGCCGCGGUAAUACGUAGGUGGCAAGCGUUAUCCGGAUUUAUUGGGCGUAAAGGGAACGCAGGCGGUCUUUUAAGUCUGAUGUGAAAGCCUUCGGCUUAACCGGAGUAGUGCAUUGGAAACUGGGAGACUUGAGUGC